GUGGGGAAUAUUGGACAAUGGGCGCAAGCCUGAUCCAGCCAUGCCGCGUGUGUGAAGUAGGCCUUUUGGUUGUAAAGCACUUUAAGCGAGGAGGAGGCUCCUUUAGUUAAUACCUAAAGAGAGUGGACGUUACUCGCAGAAUAAGCACCGGCUAACUCUGUGCCAGCAGCCGCGGUAAUACAGAGGGUGCGAGCGUUAAUCGGAUUUACUGGGCGUAAAGCGUGCGUAGGCGGCUUUUUAAGUCGGAUGUGAAAUCCCUGAGCUUAACUUAGGAAUUGCAUUCGAUACUGGAAAGCUAGAGUAUGGGAGAGGAUGGUAGAAUUCCAGGUGUAGCGGUGAAAUGCGUAGAGAUCUGGAGGAAUACCGAUGGCGAAGGCAGCCAUCUGGCCUAAUACUGACGCUGAGGUACGAAAGCAUGGGGAGCAAACAGGAUUAGAUACCCUUGUAGUCC
RNAcentral lists this ribosomal RNA (451 nucleotides) under uncultured bacterium. RNAcentral's name for it is "partial 16S ribosomal RNA". It matches the Rfam family "Bacterial small subunit ribosomal RNA", at positions 354 to 796 of the family's 1533-position model. The record is from RNAcentral.